UUAUUUGGUUUUUACUCUUUAUUAAAUCUGCUAAUUUAUUAACACAGAAAAUUUAUUAGCUUUAAUAACUUGUCCCGCUAAAAUUUGAAAGGAAUAUAGAGGGUGCAAAGAUUUAACGUUUUUCUAGUAGGUGGCGAUACUUACAAUUACGGUCACACGAAUUAGUCGGAAUUGUAAGCAUGGCUCGCUUGUGUAUGCUUUCUCGUUUUCAUUUUAAUCAUAUUUUUGUGUUAAGUUGCGUAAUUAAUCAGAAAAGAAACAUCUGUUUGUUUGUUAGAUGUAAGUAAAUUAGAAUUAACAUUUAGAAUUAGAAUUUACGUAUUAUCAAUUUCGAAAUUUACAUGUUACAGUAUACAAUUCAAGCUCGUUUUACCGCUAUUUACAGAUAUAAAUUCUAACUUUUAUACUUUCAGCAUUUCCCCAACAGGUGGCAGCACCUUGAACUACGGUCACACGAAUCAGUCGCAGUUAUACUUGUGCGUUUGCUUGCGUGAGCUCUUAACUUUUCAUUUCAAUUAUAUUUUUGUGUUAAGAAGAGAAUUGUUAAUCGAAGAAAAAACGUUUACUUCCUUCGUUAUACAUAAAGUUUGAGAAAUAGACGCAAUAAACGAUGGAGCUUCGUGCAUCCCAAUGUCCGUAGUUUGAACAAAGAAAUCUUUAACCUUGAAGCUGCUUUGUGAGAGAAUGUUGUACUUUACAGGGGCGAACAAAAAUCUGAAGGCUGCGAAACGUCGAAAGAAAACGAUCGACGUCGACACGUCUGAAGUUGCACAUGUUUUAUCUCGUCGGGAUGUAACAUCAACUUCUUCUCUUCUCUGAGAAAGAAGCGAAUUCCACGAAGCGAGGUCCAGUUCGAGGGCUGUCCAGACCAACGAAGAAGUUGCUGACGCCAUAUUCCCCGCGAUCUCCCAUCGAGAGGACCUCGGGAGAGGUUCUUCGUCGUUCCACCAUCUAUCAUCUUCGGUACGUUCGCAAGACGCUGUACGCUCUCGCGUCGUCUUGCGCGAUAAAACGAUCGAGAAACCUGGCGGAGAGGAUCGUCGCAGACGGGGGCUACAUUCCGGCACGGUCGUCGUGUAAUUUGGAUAAAUACUUGCGGCGGUUCGCGGUCCCGGGAAUGGCCAGUUCAAACCGCCUGACACGGGAUAUUUAAGCCGCAGACUCUGUUGUGCGGCUCGAAUUACCUAAACGCAGGAAUUCUCCGAUUGCGAAUGGGACCGGUUAAUGGGCAGGUGCUGCGCUAUUUCACUGGAUUACUAUGCCACUCCACUAUACCACCCUCUUUUCUCAAUGUUUAUAUCGGAAAUUGUCCAUCGAGAUAGGGAGGAGGAGCAUCGUUGCAAAAAUUCGAAAUUGAACUCGCUCCGGUCGUGUUCAAUGGACGUUUCUGAGCGUGUCGGUAAGAGAUGUAAAAAUAUUGAGAAAAUAUAAUAAAAUUA
Long non-coding RNA from Frieseomelitta varia, 1439 nucleotides. RefSeq lists it as uncharacterized. Lineage: Eukaryota; Metazoa; Arthropoda; Insecta; Hymenoptera; Apidae. The transcript is spliced from 5 exons. The record is from RefSeq and is a predicted model, not a curated record.